AGAGUUUGAUCCUGGCUCAGGAUAACGCUGGCGGCGUGCCUAAUGCAUGCAAGUCGAACGGGAUCGCUUUCGGGCGACGACCGUGGCGGACGGGUGAGGAGCACGUAGCUGACCUGCCCUGGUGUGGGGGAUAUCCUCCGGAAACGGAGUGUAAUACCGCAUGUGCUUGAUUGGAGGGAUCCGAUCAAGGAAAGCCGAGAGGCGUACCAGGAGGGGGCUGCGUCCGAUUAGCUGGUUGGUGGGGUAACGGCCUACCAAGGCGAUGAUCGGUAGCUGGUCUGAGAGGACGAUCAGCCACACGGGGACUGAGACACGGCCCCGACUCCUACGGGAGGCAGCAGCAAGGAAUUUUCCACAAUGGGCGCAAGCCUGAUGGAGCAACGCCGCGUGGGGGAUGACGCACUUCGGUGUGUAAACCCCUUUUCGAGGGGACGAAGGCAAUGACGGUACCCUCGGAAGAAGGAUCGGCUAACUACGUGCCAGCAGCCGCGGUAAGACGUAGGAUCCGAGCGUUGUCCGGAGUUACUGGGCGUAAAGCGCGCGCAGGCGGACACGCGCAUCGGCGGUGAAAGCCCCCCGCUCAACGGGGGAGGGUCCGUCGAGAUGGCGUGUCUGGAGGCAGGGAGAGGCCAGUGGAAUUCCGGGUGUAGUGGUGAAAUGCGUAGAGAUCCGGAGGAACACCAGUGGCGAAGGCGGCUGGCUGGACCUGACCUGACGCUGAGGCGCGAAGGCGUGGGGAGCGAACGGGAUUAGAUACCCCGGUAGUCCACGCAGUAAACGAUGGGUACUAGGUGUGGCGGGAGUUGACCCCUGCCGUGCCGGCGCUAACGCAGUAAGUACCCCGCCUGGGGAGUACGGCCGCAAGGCUAAAACUCAAAUGAAUUGACGG
This 889-nucleotide ribosomal RNA is filed under the name uncultured bacterium. RNAcentral describes it as "bacterial SSU rRNA". It matches the Rfam family "Bacterial small subunit ribosomal RNA", at positions 8 to 916 of the family's 1533-position model. The record is from RNAcentral.